GAUGAACGCUGGCGGCGUGCUUAACACAUGCAAGUCGAACGGAAAGGCUCCUGCUUGCAGGGGUACUCGAGUGGCGAACGGGUGAGUAACACGUGGGUGAUCUGCCCUGCACUUCGGGAUAAGCCUGGGAAACUGGGUCUAAUACCGGAUAGGACGAUGGUUUGGAUGCCAUUGUGGAAAGUUUUUCGGUGUGGGAUGAGCUCGCGGCCUAUCAGCUUGUUGGUGGGGUAAUGGCCUACCAAGGCGUCGACGGGUAGCCGGCCUGAGAGGGUGUACGGCCACAUUGGGACUGAGAUACGGCCCAGACUCCUACGGGAGGCAGCAGUGGGAAAUAUUGCACAAUGGGCGCAAGCCUGAUGCAGCGACGCCGCGUGGGGGAUGACGGCCUUCGGGUUGUAAACUCCUUUCGCUAGGGACGAAGCGCAAGUGACGGUACCUGGAGAAGAAGCACCGGCUAACUACGUG
RNAcentral lists this ribosomal RNA (465 nucleotides) under uncultured bacterium. Its description in RNAcentral is "partial 16S ribosomal RNA". It matches the Rfam family "Bacterial small subunit ribosomal RNA", at positions 28 to 507 of the family's 1533-position model. The record is from RNAcentral.